AUCAUCGAUUCAAUGAGGUAUCUUCAGAAUUGCUUACUUGCUUUGCAUGUCUUGAUCCAAGGGAAUCAUUUUCUAAGUUUGAUGUGAAUAAGCUUGCUCGCCUCACGAAGAUAUAUUUAGAUGACUUCUCUUUUGAUGAUCGAAAAAAAUAAAAGAUCAAUUACAGACCUUUCUUAUCCAUGUAAGGAGAAUUGAGGAGUUCAGAGUUUGUCAAGAUUUUGCAAGCCUAGCACUAAAAAUGGUUGAGCUCAACAGACAUACGAUGUUCCCAUUGGUUUAUCGCCUAAUUGAGUUGGCAUUGCUACUACCAAUAGCGACCGCAUCGGUUGAAAGGGCUUUUUCAGCCAUGAAGAUAAUUAAAACUGAGUUGCGGAACAAGAUGUCUGAUGGUUGGCUUAAUGACUUAAUGAUUGUGUAUAUUGAGAGGGAGAUAUUUAAAGGAAUUGAUCUUCAAUCUAUCAAAAAGGCAUUUCAAGUGAAGAAAGAUAGGAAUAUGAAAUUGCCGAAGCAUCCUAAACGCAACCGGACUGAACGCAACUAAUAAAUUUAUCGCUUAUUUUGGUCCCGUUGUUGAUUUGAUGUGUAAUCUACAUGUUUUUCUUCAUUUAAGGUACUUCUAAACGAUGGUCUUGUUGUGAACUUUUAUUUCCGUACAAUAUAUGAAUGUAGUCUAGAAA
Molecule: long non-coding RNA, 677 nt
Organism: Panicum virgatum (switchgrass)
Lineage: Eukaryota; Viridiplantae; Streptophyta; Magnoliopsida; Poales; Poaceae
Exons: 2
Source: RefSeq, a predicted model, not a curated record